Long non-coding RNA from Monomorium pharaonis (pharaoh ant), 7662 nucleotides. RefSeq lists it as uncharacterized. The record is from RefSeq and is a predicted model, not a curated record. The transcript is spliced from 2 exons. Lineage: Eukaryota; Metazoa; Arthropoda; Insecta; Hymenoptera; Formicidae.
AUUUUAGUGAAUAAAUACAUUUUUUGGAUACCAUGAAACGGUAUCAAUAUGAUAUUACACAUUGAUUUUAUUUUUGUUUAACUCAAUCAUACCGCCGUCAUCAGAGUGACAUAAUAUGCGCUACGUGGAGGUUGACGGUCGGAUUUUGCACAUUAUGUGGCUCUGAAAAGGGCCGAUUUUUUAAUUAAAAUUAAAAUUUUUUAUGUAUGUGUAUGUGUAUAUUUAUGUGUGAGUUUAUGAGUGUAGAUGAAAUGUGUAUGUUUGUAUAUAUGUCUACAUACAUGUGUGUUUGUUUAACUCUUAGGGUACUAACCUUAAAAAAGUUACGUUCAGUACUACUUGAGUUAGCGUAACCCACCAAACUUUGUGGGCUUGUAUCUUCGAAUAAAUUCAAUCAAUUUUAACGAAUUUUCUUUCAAUCGAAGGGAAAAAGACUCAGAAUUAUGAUGGUCUUGGUUAAAAAGUCGAAGAUAUUAAAAGAAGAGAUUUUUUGAAAAGAAUGAAGAAGGAACGAAAAAUUUUUGUAAAAAUUCAUUUUUUUUUCAAACGCUCGUAUUUAUUAGAAAAAAGAUAAAAUAAUUAAAAUGGUGGUCAAUGGAAAGGUAAAAAUGUGAACUUUAAGAUAAUCUUUAGUCAGAUUUUUUAUUCUGUUCUAAAACUAUAUUUUGAUGGAGACAGAAUGCCCUGGAAGGUGACGGGGACCGUGAAUACGAAAUUGAGUGAAGAUAUAAGAGCACCUUUUAUUUGUACACGCAAGCAGUUACAGAGAACAUUCGAGGGAGACGGAAUCGCGCUAGUGCUAGGUUACAAUAUGGCUGCAGGUGACGACAGAGACAGACGCGAGAUGAUCGGUAACGAACGCGCGACCGCUACGGUCGCGCCGUCUACACGCGAGUUCAUUGGUCUCCCGAAGACCUGACGGGCCAAUAAGCGUUCAUCGGCGGGGCGCUAGAUUUAAGAAGCUUCUGCCAACAUAUUUAUUUGGCGAUAUGAAAAUGUGAUAUUUUCCGAUAUUUCCUGAUGUCAUCAAAAUAAGCGUACUAUACUUGCAACAAUUUUUCGCCACGUGUUUGCGACAGAUAGGCUUAUGACACUACAAGCAUUUAUAAUACGUCUUUCCAUCCAAGGCAGAAGGACACAAUCCGCAUCUUUUCUGCUUUGACAUUUUGUUAUUUACCAGAAAAUUACGCACAUCUUGAUUUUCUGGCAGAUUUCUAGCUUCGAAGAAAUCUUUGAUCACGUUUCGCAAUUUUAACUGCAAAGACGGAAUAGCUAAUCGUCUUAUCAGAAAAGGUUUAACAAGCGCUAAACUUAAUUCAAAUAUGAAUUUUAUUCUUUUCAUUAACUCAUUGUCUUUAAUAAUAUUGUAUAAUAUAAAGCUAUUUAAACCGCACCAUGAAGACGUAUACUAUUAAAGUAAUAAACAAUACUUUAUGUUUACUUAUUUCUCACUAAAUGAUAAUAAUUUGCAUGAAACUUUACGAAAAAAUAGUUAAAACCUUUUUUAUGCAAAGUUUGAUUUUACGUAAUUCCCAAUUUUGUUACGUUCCGUACAUAACUGGGUGAAAAAUACCCGAGCGAAGAAUUGCGAUGCUUGCCCUCUAGCUCCUAAAGGCACAGUGACUCCACCAAGCGGUGGACUAAUGCUUGGGAUUUCAAAGUUUCUUCCCGCAUCCAGAUCUCCUAUCCCUCAUCGUUUAAAAACGGCACAUAUUUCAAAAUUUGUCUGGGUUUUGCUAACCCAGCUAGUAUCUUGAGGAUUAAUAGUGGGUAUUUUCUCCUCUGUCUAAUGAUCUGUUGCAAACGUUUUUUCAUGUUGAUGCAUGCUUAGAUUUUCCGUUGCGGUAUUUUAUUCGCACUAGUAGUUUUGACAGGUCAUGAAAAUUAGUUGGUGAUCUCUCCAGCCGUUGUUCCAUUAAAUUCCAGAUAUGCUCAAUGGAAUUAAGGUCUGGGCUCAUAGGAGGAUGAAGCAGAACGGUAAUCGUGUUUUGUUGAAGGAAUUAUCUGGUAAUUGCUGUGUGAGAACGUGCAUUAUUGUGCGUAAACACAUAAUUUUGUUCAAUACGACGUUUCACUGAUAGUACACGCUCAAAACUUCAUCAAUGUAGCGUAUUGCUAUUACUCCUGGUGGUGAUUAGAUGAUCAAUUAAGUGCGCCCAAUGUAUUAGAUUACCCCAUAUCAUAACAGAACCACCAUUGAAUGCAUUAAUGGGUUCUACGCAAGAACGGUUAUAAGAAUAAUUUCGACGAUGACACGAAACGUCUAUCAGAAUUGUACAGGCAAAAUGUCGAGAGUGAGUCCCAGAUGCGCACAGUAAUAAACGGACAUAGCAGGCUGAGUGGAACGGACACAGUAACAAACGGACACAGAUCAAAUGCGCACAGACUAAAUGGACACAGUAACAAACGGACACAGUCGCAAACCCAUGUGGUGCAGAGAAUGCUUUGUGCGCGCGCGCACACACACACGGUGAAGGGAGUGCAAGGGGGCUUUGCCCCCCCUCCCGCACCCAUCCUGUCGAUAGGGGUGCCUUAAAAAGUCGCAACUCAUGUGGUAAGUCCGUUUGUUACUAUGUCCGUUUGUUACUGUGUCUAUUUGGUCUGUAUGCAUUUGGUCUGUGCGCAUUUGAUCUGUGUCCGUUUCACUUAGCCUGCUGUGUUCGUUUAUUACUGUGCGCAUCUGGGACGCUCCCAAUGUCUCAUCAAUAAAAAAAACAUUGCGCGACUGCCUUUGUGAGUUCAAUUCUGAUAUGUUUUAGCACAAUGAAGACGAGCUUGACGGUGUUGUUGGGUUAGCGCUUGAACUCUGCGUGAAUGCAGAUCUGCUUCGUGUAAACGAUUUCUGACAGAUACGUCAGAAAUUCUUCCAAGAUUUAAUCCAUCAAGGUUUUAAGGCACACUUUGAGCAAGUUCUCGCACAUUAGCAUGGAUGAUUUGACGGUCUUCUCUAGGCGUAGUGAUUUGCCUCUGAUCAGAACUUUCAUGACGAUCAAAGUUUUUUUUCUUGGAAAUUUUUCCGAGCACGGGAAAUUGUAAAACGAGGAAUUUGAAGCCUAAUGGAAGUUAGUUUUCCAUUUUUUAAAUUAACAUAUUUUGACAAUUGUGCUGAAUUUUGCUAAGUUUGUGCUACAUUGUGCUCGCCUCUUAAAACCGUAAUAUAAAACAUACAAUAAAAGAAGGAAAAAAAACGAUUUUUUAAGUCAGCCCUCCACUUAGUUUUUCUCAAUUGUGCUAAUUGCUAGGUUGUGCUAAUAUUGUGCCAAAGUAUCACUUUGAAAAAAUAACAAAAAAGUUACGAUAAAAAACUAAUUUUGAGUGAUAUUUACAACAAUUGACAUUUUUACGUAUAUUGGUUAUAUGAUAAAAAUAAUAUCACAUAUUUGAGUUGUGUGCUAGGUUAGCACAACUCAGAUAUGCGAUAUUAUUCUCGUGGGAUAAUUGUAAACUCGUAAUUUGGACUUACAACUACUGCGCGAAGGGUCAAAUUCAAGAGUAAAGUGCUCUUUAUAUCGUUGUUCUGCAGAAACCGGAAGUUGUGCUGAGUUGUGCUAGGCUAGCACAACUUAGAUAUGCGAUAUUAUUUUUCUCAGAUAAUCAAUAUAUAUAAAAAUGUCAAUUGUUGUCAAAAUUACUCGAAAUUAAUUUUUUAUUGUAACUUUUUUGUUAUUUUUUCAAAGUAAUACUUUAGUACAAUGUUAGUACAACUCCCCCCCCCUUUUUUUAAACGAGGUGGGAAUGCAUUUACGCAUACCCUCGCCACCGAUGACUCACGGGCGAGGGUUAUGUGGGACUCGCGGGUUUGUGAGCGGGGAGGCUAAUUCUUUCCGCUCACGUGCAAUACCCGUACUACCCACUAAACCCACCUCGGAUGGCCAAGACUGCGUGCAAUCGCUGUCCAGCAUAACUGCCGGAGGUCCCCCCCCUCCUCCACGCAGGCGUGCCUUGCGGGCGACGCACUUUCUCCGGGGAGACAGGGCGGACACUUAACGACCCCCCCCCCCCCCCCCGAUCGGUUUGCCCCGUUGGUAAAGGGACGGACGGACUCGCGCGGCCAUCGAGCGGGACGAAGGGGGGAGAGACAACACGCCAUCUUCCCCGUCGCCACUACUCUCUCCUUCAAGAUGGUAGGGGGGGGGAGAAGAGAAGGGGGGAAUAAUAUGUAUACCCCCCCGAGGGUUGAACUUUCUCGUCGGGAGGACCCGGGUCCGGGUCGUCUCGACGGCCCGCAUUAUGUUUGAGAGGGGGGGCCUCGGCUCGACGAAUCCCCGGAGCCGGGCCUCCCCAGCGGGCAAACGGUAUGUUUAUGGUCCAGGGGGAGGGAGGGCCUUAUCGAUUGGUCCGUCUCGAUCGUCCUCCCGGACCAAUCUCCCGGUCCGCGUCGUCUCUACGCGCGACCAACGCGCCUACGCGUCCCUCGUUUUUCGAAGGGGGACGCCUCCGACCUUAUGUUAGUACAACCUAGCACAACUUUGCACAGUUAAGAAAAUUGUGAAAAACCGAAAGUGGGAGGCUGACCUAAAAAAUAGUUUUUUUUUUCAUUUUUUAUAUUACGGUUUUAUAUUACGGUUUUAAGAGACGAGCACAAUGUAGCACAAACUUAGCACAGUUUAGCACAAUUGUCAAAAUGUUAAUUAAAAAAAUAAGAGGCUAACUUCUAACAGGCAAAUUUGAAUUUUUUUCACAACAUAACGCAUUGUAUUUUCUUCUUGUAGAAGAGCAACAAUUUGUGCACGUUGAAUUUUAGUUAAAUGCUGGCAUUUUUUAUUCGAAAUCAAAGCAUUUCAAAUCGCAAAAUCUGAUUUUCAGUAAAGACAAUCUUGUGUAAAAAAAGUUUUCUUCAAAAACAAAACAUAACUUUACCGUUUGUUAUUCAAGAUCUGAAAUUUAGUUGCUGAUUUUUAGCUUGUGAUUAUUUUAAAGUCUGUAUUUUGACUAUACGAAAACAGUCGUCAAUUUACUGUAAACAGUUUACUCUUAUACACUGAAUUUUUUAAAUUUAGUUAUUGGUUAUCUGAAUAUUAAUAAUUAAUUUUUUAGACAUCAAAAAUUUAUCAAUAAUUUUUUGUAUUAUCUGCCUUUACUUUAAGAUUACUUUACUUAAGUAAUUGGCUUUCUAAAAAUGAGCAAUUUUCUUUUUCUUGUACAACAACGAAUAAGAUUUGAAAAGUACGUAUAUGUUACGUCCUGGAGGGUGCGGGAGCGGAGCGGUAGCCAUUUUUCCCAGGAAUGUAGCUUGCUGAGGGGGAGAGUAAACGCACACGUUAUAAGGAUGUCCAUGAUUAUGGUAUGCAACGCGCGCCAGGCAGAUUCCGAAGGAUAGUUCAUAAAAAAAAUUUAGCAAAAAAAAAGAACGAUUAAAUUCUCGGUUAAUUAUUUCUCUAUGGACUUCCUUAUUUAGCGCUCUCUCUCUCUCUCUCUCUCUCUCUCUCUCUCUCUCUUUCUCUCUUUCUCUUUUUCCAUUGAUUCGAAACAAAAAGCGUAGGCCUUGCUAGGGCUCUUAAUUCUGCGCCGUGAUAAUUACAAUAUUUCUAGCGAAUUAAGUUAGAAUUAGAGUUGAGCAGGUCUGCGGAGAUUGACAUUAAAGGAAUUCGUGGGAGAAAAACGCCUUAAGAGGAUGCUGGACUGCCUCUCAAACUUGAUCGAUAAUGUAGAGUCAUUCGUGUACAUCAUUAAUGAGAUUUCGUAUAUAUAUUUUUUAUAGAUUUAGAAAUUCUUUUCCAGAAUUAAAAUACAUAUAUUAAUAUUAAUCUGUAAAUUAAACUAGUGCUCUGUUUCUAUCUUCGGACCGAUUCCUCACUCACACGUAUAUAUGAAAUUUUCUUUGAGGCUUUUUUCUUAUACCAAAGCUUCUAGCUCAUUUCUGCAAGCAUUUUAUUAUUCUUUCAUGUAAUAAGAUUAGUGCGUACUAGUUAUUUGUACGUACAGAGUCUUUAAAACUUAUGUGUUACAGAUGAAAGAUACGAGGCGACUGCACAAAAAUAUAAUUUUCUAACUUUUUUUGUUUUUUACAUAAUAUUAUAGGUAGGCACUAUUUGUUAUUGUCUAUACUUUAAUUCUGGAGGAUUUUUAAUUCUAUGAAAUCAGUAAAAAAAUAGGCCUAAUUAAAAAUAAUAACGUUCAAUCGGUAAAACAGACGACUCCAGCAUCCCCUUAAUAAGCUAACCCAUUGCCCAUGAAGUGGAAGAAAUUUUUGGGGUGAAGCGCCUUAAAAGGCAGGCUUAUUGCCGGAGUGAGAAGAAUUUGUGGAAUUAAGCGCAGCCCGUUGCUCACGGAGUGAAAGGAAUUGUGGGGUUAAGCGCCUUAAUAGGCAGCCCGCUGCCCAAGGGAUGGAGAAUUUAAUUUGAGAGAGAUCGACUUAAUCCUUUUUCCUUAUAAUUUACUUAUUCGACUGUAAGAAACUCGUGGAUAGUCAGCAUGAUGUACAUAAACAAGUAGAUGUAUAUGUGUAUAUAUAUAUAUAUAUAAGUGCUUUUGAGGAGUCCCUUUCUUGCUCUGGAAACAUUAGGAGCACUGGGGGAAAUAACCCUUUUUCCGCCCCUUUACAACUAUCUUAAUAUUAAUACUCGCGGACCGAGAACACAAAAAAGGGAAAGAAAAAAAACAAACACAAAGAAAGAGAAGCAAGAGGAAUUAUUAAUAUUUGCAGAUUUUAUUUAAAGAAGAAAUAAUAGUACUUUGUUAUAUAUAUUGUACAAGGAAUAGAAAGCAAAAGAGAAAUUCAAAUCGCGGUUGCUUAACAGUGGUGAUUUACUCGACAACGUGACUAAUAAUUUCAGUAUGCGGAUGAUUUGCUUUACAAUUACAAAUUUCCUUUUAUUGUGACGACGAUCGGAAUAAUAGUGGCAAGUGUGGUACUUACAGGACGAGAUCCUGUUAUUGGUCUCGUAAGUAAUAGUGAAUACGUAGAGUGGUACGUUCGAAUAAUAUUGAUACGGCCCAGGAUGUAUUUCGUGAGAUAACUGACAGGUUACUAGAGCGAAAAUGCUGAUGGGCAGCACGAUAAACUGCUGGAGCGAAAAUGCUGAUUUCCGCGGCUCUCGCGCUCCUUAUAUACCUCAAAACUAGGGCAGCACGACGAGCUAUUAGAGCAAAAUGCUUAUGGGCAGCACGAUAAACUGCUGGAGCGAAAAUGCUGAUUUCCGCGGCUCUCGCGUUUCUUAUAUAUCCCAAAACAGGGGGUUCUAAGGGUAUGCAGGCAUGGGAAAGCUUGAAUUCUCGGAAUUUUCCGCGACAAAUAACUUAUUUUCAAAAUUCCAUAAUUUUUAAUUUUUAUUCCGAUUGUUAUAAUUUUUGGUCAAGAGGUAGCCAGGGGGGUCAGCGUUCAGAUACUUUUUACGCCUCCCUCUUAUUACUUCUACGAGCGGAGUAAUUAAUGACAUACUUUCAUAAUUGCUCUGGCUGUUGCCAUCUCUCUCGACUGAAGCAAUGUUUAGGCUGUCGCUAUCUCUCUCAGAUAACACGCACUUCGCGGCUGAAGCAAUGCUUCAGCAGCGCGAGGGUGCCACGCGCGGACCACGUGGCUGAAUAAUAAUAGAAUUAUUCUAAAUUAUUAUAGUGAGAGAGUGAAAGCGUGAUUGCAAUAGAUUAUAACUUGUAAUAAUUAGCGAGAAAGCGUGAGCAGUGUCGAUCCGCACCCUGACAGCUCUAAUAAAAAUUAAUAAA